Molecule: ribosomal RNA, 865 nt
Filed under: uncultured bacterium
Lineage: Bacteria
Description: bacterial SSU rRNA
Rfam family: Bacterial small subunit ribosomal RNA
Source: RNAcentral
CUGGCGGCGUGCCUAACACAUGCAAGUCGAGCGGAGAUUGUAGCAAUACAAUCUUAGCGGCGGACGGGUGAGUAACGCGUGGGCAACCCGCUUUUACAGGGGGAUAACACAGGGAAACUUGUGCUAAUACCGCAUAACAUAUCGAUAUGGCAUCGUAUUGAUAUCAAAGGAGUAAUCCGGUAAAAGAUGGGCCCGCGUCCAAUUAGCUAGUUGGUGGUGUAAUGGACCACCAAGGCGACGAUUGGUAGCCGAACUGAGAGGUUGAUCGGCCACAUUGGGACUGAGACACGGUCUAGACUCCUACGGGAGGCAGCAGUGGGGAAUUUUGCGCAAUGGGGGAAACCCUGACGCAGCAACGCCGCGUGAGUGAUGAAGGCUCUUGGGUCGUAAAGCUCUGACAGAGGGAAAGAAGUGUAUUGUGGCUAAUAUCCACGAUACUUGACGGUACCCUCAAAGGAAGCACCGGCUAACUCCGUGCCAGCAGCCGCGGUAAUACGUAGGGGGCAAGCGUUGUCCGGAAUUAUUGGGCGUAAAGCGCGCGCAGGCGGUCGUUUAAGUCUGGAGUUUAAACCUAGGGCUCAACCUUGGGUCGCUCUGGAAACUGGGGGACUGGAGUGUAGGAGAGGAAAGUGGAAUUCCACGUGUAGCGGUGAAAUGCGUAGAUAUUAGGAGGAACACCAGUGGCGAAGGCGGCUUUCUGGACAGUAACUGACGCUGAGGCGCGAAAGCGUGGGGAGCAAACAGGAUUAGAUACCCUGGUAGUCCACGCUGUAAACGAUGGAUACUAGGUGUAGGGGGUAUCGACCCCCCCUGUGCCGCAGUUAACACAUAAGUAUCCCACCUGGGGAGUACGGCCGCAAGGUUG